RNAcentral lists this ribosomal RNA (212 nucleotides) under uncultured Actinomycetales bacterium. RNAcentral describes it as "partial 16S ribosomal RNA". It matches the Rfam family "Bacterial small subunit ribosomal RNA", at positions 117 to 334 of the family's 1533-position model. Lineage: Bacteria; Bacillati; Actinomycetota; Actinomycetes; Actinomycetales. The record is from RNAcentral.
GUGGUGAUCUGCCCUGCACUUCGGGAUAAGCUUGGGAAACUGGGUCUAAUACCGGAUAGGAGCCAUCUUUAGUGUGGUGGUUGAAAGUUUUUUCGGUGUAGGAUGAGCUCGCGGCCUAUCAGCUUGUUGGUGGGGUAAUGGCCUACCAAGGCGGCGACGGGUAGCCGGCCUGAGAGGGUGUACGGCCACAUUGGGACUGAGAUACGGCCCAG